This 477-nucleotide unclassified non-coding RNA is filed under the name Cicer canariense. RNAcentral describes it as "partial miscellaneous RNA". The record is from RNAcentral. Lineage: Eukaryota; Viridiplantae; Streptophyta; Magnoliopsida; Fabales; Fabaceae.
GGGGCGUGGUGGGUUCGGUGAUGUUGGGUCUUGCUGACGCGUUGGCAUGUGAGUUGUGCUUUGGAUAUUUGUGUUUGCUGGCUCUGUGCGUUUGCAUUGAACGGCAUGCAUGUAAUCCUUGUCAGUUUUUGUUGUGCGCCCUUGUGCCUUUGGUGUUCGUAUGUGGUUCCUGUUUGGCUUACCUUUAAAACGGUAUUCGUGUGGCUUGUUACGCUUGAUCCAUCCCCUGCCGUUGCACGGUCAUGUGGUGGCUUUUGAAGUUUUUACCUAUGAACCCUUUUUAGAUGUCCUUGUAUGUCUAUAAAGGUGCACAUGUAUUGACUGAAUUUAGGGAUGCGGUGCUUGAGAUGAACUUUCGUGUUUUCCACAUUGUCCCUACAUAACGGUUGCCUUAAAUUAUGCCUGCCGUUCUGCACGUUUUGAUCGCCUUUCGAGGGUGGCAAAGCUUGCAUUAUGGUCAGAGUCAUUAAUGGAUGC